CCUACGGGAGACAGCAGUGAGGAAUAUUGGUCAAUGGGCGCGAGCCUGAACCAGCCAAGUCGCGUGAGGGAAGACGGUCCUAUGGAUUGUAAACCUCUUUUGUCGGGGAGCAAACUACGCCACGCGUGUCGUUCCGAGAGUACCCGACGAAAAAGCAUCGGCUAACUCCGUGCCAGCAGCCGCGGUAAUACGGAGGAUGCGAGCGUUAUCCGGAUUUAUUGGGUUUAAAGGGUGCGCAGGCGGAAGAUCAAGUCAGCGGUAAAAUUGAGAGGCUCAACCUCUGCGAGCCGUUGAAACUGGUGGGCUGGAGUGAGCGAGAAGUAGGCGGAAUGCGCGGUGUAGCGGUGAAAUGCAUAGAUAUCACGCAGAACUCCGAUUGCGAAGGCAGCAUACCGGCGCGAAACUGACGCUGAGGCACGAAAGUGUGGGUAUCGAACAGGAUUAGAUACCCGAGUAGUC
Molecule: ribosomal RNA, 459 nt
Filed under: uncultured bacterium
Lineage: Bacteria
Description: partial 16S ribosomal RNA
Rfam family: Bacterial small subunit ribosomal RNA
Source: RNAcentral